UGAGUGUCUCACUUUCCCUUUGAAUGUUCUGGAGGCAUCCCACAUCAUCAUGUGAUCACAAUUACUCACCUGCAGCUGUGGCAGUGGGCACCCCAUUUAUACCCUAUGACCAUUUCAGUACAGCCAGCCCAACUUCCAAGUCUACUUUCUUCUCCUGAAGCUCUUUCUGGCCUCUAAAGGCAGCUUUGCCCAUACAUGGAGCAGAUCAGAAGUGAAAAGAACCGGCUUUCUCUGUGGUUAUAACUUGAUUUGCAAACGGCAAGUGAAAGGCAGUUCUCCCUGAAAAGAAUCCUGUUCAUGCAUCACCCAGGAUCCUGGAACAGCUGCCUCCUCUCUAAGCAGAAGAGCCCUGGUGGCCUCUGUGCAUGAAGACCAUUUGGGGCCUAAUGAAGUGCAAAGUUGGGAAAUUCAGCUCCUAACCAACUCAUCACCAGAAACACAGUGGCAGACAGCUGUUAGGGCCGAACAUUAUCAUCAUCAUAAUACCUAUCACGGAGUGAACCCCUGCUAUGUGCCAGGCACUGUCCAGGCAUCUUCACUAAGAUUACAGCCUUUGACACUCACUACAGUCUAAUACAGUGUAAUUUCUUGCCUUCAUUUUCUAGUGGAGGAGAGAAAAUGGGAUUUCCCCAAAGAUGUACUGCUGUAAGUGGUAGAAUCAAGAUUUAUUAUAAAAUGAGGUUGAUCUGA
Molecule: long non-coding RNA, 690 nt
Filed under: Homo sapiens (human)
Lineage: Eukaryota; Metazoa; Chordata; Mammalia; Primates; Hominidae
Description: non-protein coding lnc-NARS2-1:1
Source: RNAcentral